CUUCAAAGGUAACCCUUAUACACGGAAAGCUCUGCACUGUGCACGGUUCUCAGCAGCAGCACAAGUUCAAAUUACACCAUGCAUCAGCUUUGACGUCAACACAUUAGGUUUAGGAUGUGGAGCCACCCACGGACUUUGACCUUGAAGAGGAACGGUAAUCAUAAAUAAAUAUCUACUCUUGGUGCCCUAAAACGCCUCAUCAGAGACUCUCCUAAUGAUGGUAAUAAAUGUGUUCAUGAUGCCAAACCAAGAGGUAGCUGUGGUACCAAGAAUGUGUAGACAUGAACUAUUGUAAAGGAUUUAUUGUGACAAAAGAAGUACAAAAAGAUAAAUAAAAAGUAGUCUCUGUUGAUAUGAUGGGGAUAAGUA
This is a long non-coding RNA of Girardinichthys multiradiatus, 369 nucleotides long. RefSeq lists it as uncharacterized. The record is from RefSeq and is a predicted model, not a curated record. The transcript is spliced from 2 exons. Lineage: Eukaryota; Metazoa; Chordata; Actinopteri; Cyprinodontiformes; Goodeidae.